UACGAGAGGCCCAAACGUUAUUCGGAAUUACUGGGCUUAAAGAGUCCUUAGGCGGCUCAGAAAGUGGGGUGUGAAAGCCCUCGGCUUAACCGAGGAAUUGCGCUCCAAACUCCUGAGCUCGAGGAACCUAGAGGUGAGCGGAACUGAUGGUGGAGCGGUGAAAUGCGUUGAUAUCAUCAGGAACACCGGAGGCGAAGGCGGCUCACUGGGGGUUUUCUGACGCUGAGGGACGAAAGCUAGGGGAGCAAACGGG
RNAcentral lists this ribosomal RNA (253 nucleotides) under uncultured bacterium. RNAcentral describes it as "partial 16S ribosomal RNA". It matches the Rfam family "Bacterial small subunit ribosomal RNA", at positions 524 to 776 of the family's 1533-position model. The record is from RNAcentral.